UACGAGAGGCCCAAACGUUUAUUCGGAUUUACUGGGCUUAAAGAGUUCGUAGGCGGCGCAGAAAGUAGGGUGUGAAAGCCCUCGGCUCAACCGAGGAAUUGCGCCCUAAACUACUGUGCUUGAGGAAGCUAGAGGUGAGCAGAACAGAUGGUGGAGCGGUGAAAUGCGUUGAUAUCAUCUGGAAUACCGGAGGCGAAGGCGGCUCACUGG
Molecule: ribosomal RNA, 210 nt
Filed under: uncultured bacterium
Lineage: Bacteria
Description: partial 16S ribosomal RNA
Rfam family: Bacterial small subunit ribosomal RNA
Source: RNAcentral